RNAcentral lists this ribosomal RNA (438 nucleotides) under Triticum aestivum (bread wheat). RNAcentral's name for it is "partial small subunit ribosomal RNA". The record is from RNAcentral. Lineage: Eukaryota; Viridiplantae; Streptophyta; Magnoliopsida; Poales; Poaceae.
AUGAGUCGUCAUGAUGGCAUCAACAUCCCUGAUGGCAAGUUCUACCUCAGAGAUGCUGGCUAUGCAUGUUGGCCAGGUGUUAUUCCACCCUUUAGAAAAAAUAGGUACCAUCUGAAUGAGUUCUCUGGUAGGAACUAUCUUAGGACUCCCCAGGAAUUGUUCAAUCUCACACACUCCAGCCUUAGAGUAACAGCCGAGAGGGCAUUUUAAGCUCUGAAGAAUAGGUUUAAGAUCCUGGAUCCGAAGCCAUUCCACCCUUAUCCUACCCAGGUCAAACUUGUUCUUGCAUGUUGCAUCAUUCACGACUAGAUUCUACAGUGGGGAAUUGAUGAACUUGUGCCGGAGGAGGAAGAUGCGACUCCUGAUGAGGUGAUCAGCUCUGGCCAUGGUGUGGGGGCGUUCGACAAUGAACCAUGGAAGAACAAAAGGUUAGAGUAA